CGCCUAAUGGGAAGCAGCCGCCGCGCCCCGGCCCCGCGGCGGCCGAGAUAAAACGGAAGCGCCGCGAGAGGCGCUUUGAUUCCAAUACGAAACAAAUUAUUCCUCCCGGAAUGGAACAAAAUAAGUCAGAGUGGAGUCUCACGGCCGUCAUUCCUCCCCGCAAGGUCACUACUGGCAGCCCGGGGGCCUGUGGACUCCGCGACGCUUGGCAGGGACGGUGCACCGACGACUGCUCGCCCACUGGGGCGGGGAGGUGGAGUCCCCGGCCUCUGGGCCAAAGGGAGAGGGUGUAGGGGGUGGAUGGUGGGGAGGACAGUGGCCGUAAUUCUUGCUGGGGUGACAUCUGAGGUCCUGCUUGGCUUCCUGGAACCCACUUAGGGAAGACAGACUCAUCACGUGUUGUAGGUGUGGGGUGUCUGGGACGCGCCUCCCCUCCCUGGGCUCCCUGGAGUCGACCACUGGUUCUCAAACUUGAGCACGUAUCGGAAUCCCCUGAAGGCGUUGAAGUGCUGUCCCCAACCCCAGAGUUGCUGAUUCAGUGGAUCUGAGAAUUUGCAUUUCAAUAAGGUCCCAGGUGAUGCUGAUGGUUCCACAUUUUGAAAACCACUACCCUAGGCUAUAUCUGGCAUCUCCAAGCCCUUUGUGUAGCCUCAAAGUGGUCGUGGUCUGUGUGCCCAGCCCCACCCCGUGUGCAUCCUCCGUUAGUCGCUGGUCUCUGUGUUGACGGCCUUUCCCAGGCUUCAGAAGGCAAUUUCGUCUUGCCGUCUCUGCUCCCUGGUUCUGGGGGCAGGGAACAGCUCAGGAUUGUUCAGGCUUGGGAAGAGCAGCCUCCCGACCUCCAUUCCUGCACCUAACGAGGCAAGACAGCUCCCUUCUCCUUCCUGUCACCCACCACCCUCUAGGUUUGCCUGAGUCCCAGCCCUUGGCUAGGCCAGAAAAGAACAGGAAGCCAGGUCAGCUGGUGGCACAGCGGUUAAGUUUGCACGUUCCACUUCGUUGGCGGAGUUGCCGGUUGGGAUCCCGGGUGCGGACCUACGCACGGCUUGGCAAGCCAUGCUGUGGCAGGCGUCCCACAUGUAAAGUAGAGGAAGAUGGGCACGGAUGUUAGCUCAGGGCCAGUCUUCCUCAGCCAAAAAAAGAGGAGGAUUGGCGGCAGAUGUUAGCUAAGGGCUAAUCUUUCUAAACCAAACCAAACCAAACCAAAAACCCAGGAAGCUGAGGAAGGGAUUUCUCUAACACGCUCCUUAGGAUCCACGCAAGGCCUGGCCUGGAGGGGCCGCUGUUGCGCUUCCGCCAGGGUCAGGCUCUCUCAGGGCGAUACUUCUUGUGUUACUCCGAGCAUCGCUGCCCAUGAACUAUUUGCUGAUUGGCUGAUUAAUUGUUUGGAGGAAACCUACCAGGAGGGGAAACAAAACAAAAGAAAGACAAUCCUCAAGGCUGCCGUGGACCAGGACAAGCCUCUUUUCUAGAUGGAGGUGGUGUCCCUCUCAAGUCUGGGAGAUGGAUAAGAACCUAGUCUGUGAACAUACAAGAUAGACCCCAGUGAAGUUCGGGCUUGUUGGAGCUCUUGCAAACCAGCAGUCAGGCCAAAGGACCUUCCAGGUUGGCUGCUUGAGCUGGUCAAAUGAACCAGAUCAUUUGCUUUGCCUUUUUAGCUCUGUAGCCACAACCAAAAAAAAAAAAAAAAAAAGUGCGUGUGUGAGUAAAGCAGCAAAUGUACCUUUCAUUUUAGAAACAAAAAUAUCAUUUCUGACUCAACAAUAGCCGGAUUCCUGUGAAUGAAGGGUUUGCAUAUUUUCCUGUUUUAAC
This 1809-nucleotide long non-coding RNA is filed under the name Equus caballus (horse). RNAcentral describes it as "lncRNA (ENSECAG00000052013.1)". Lineage: Eukaryota; Metazoa; Chordata; Mammalia; Perissodactyla; Equidae. The record is from RNAcentral.